This 169-nucleotide ribosomal RNA is filed under the name uncultured bacterium. Its description in RNAcentral is "partial 16S ribosomal RNA". It matches the Rfam family "Bacterial small subunit ribosomal RNA", at positions 338 to 524 of the family's 1533-position model. The record is from RNAcentral.
CCUACGGGAGGCAGCAGUGGGGAAUAUUGGACAAUGGGCGAAAGCCUGAUCCAGCAAUGCCGCGUGAGUGAUGAAGGCCUUCGGGUCGUAAAGCUCUUUUACCCGGGAUGAUAAUGACAGUACCGGGAGAAUAAGCUCCGGCUAACUCCGUGCCAGCAGCCGCGGUAAU